UGAAAGACGCGCAUUUGUUAUCAUCAUCCCUGUUAUUCAGAGAUGAAUAUUUGGCCACAAGUAUGUGGCCAUUUUC
RNAcentral lists this small RNA (76 nucleotides) under Cedecea davisae DSM 4568. Its description in RNAcentral is "SraD RNA". It matches the Rfam family "MicA sRNA". The record is from RNAcentral. RNAcentral also lists the same sequence under 1 other name. Lineage: Bacteria; Pseudomonadati; Pseudomonadota; Gammaproteobacteria; Enterobacterales; Enterobacteriaceae.